CGGAAAGACUCCAGAAUGGACGGAUAUCAAAGUGUCUCUCCUCUGAUGUCCCGGGAAGAGCCAGCAUGGCAUGGGCACAUUUCACAUGAACAAACAGCUAAUAAGAGAUCUCAGGAAUGUUGUGUGCAGUAAACCUCAGUUUUCUCCAAGAUCCAAGGUCGCCACAGCAGAAUGACCCACCAACUUAUCCAGCAUAUGUUUUACUCAGCAUAUGCCCUUCCAGGCGCAACCAAGUACUGGGAAACACUCAUACACUACGGGCAGUGUAGUUCAUCCAAUUCACCUAUAGCACAUGUGUUUGGACUGUGGGGGAAACCAGAGCACCCAGAGGAAACCCACGCCAACACAGGGAGAACAUGCAAACUUUACGCAGAAAUGCUAACUGGCCCAGACUCCAACCAGCAACCUUCUUGCUGUGAGAUGA
Molecule: long non-coding RNA, 424 nt
Organism: Danio aesculapii
Lineage: Eukaryota; Metazoa; Chordata; Actinopteri; Cypriniformes; Danionidae
Exons: 3
Source: RefSeq, a predicted model, not a curated record